Molecule: ribosomal RNA, 828 nt
Filed under: Nocardioidaceae bacterium MOLA 1522
Lineage: Bacteria; Bacillati; Actinomycetota; Actinomycetes; Propionibacteriales; Nocardioidaceae
Also listed under: 1 other name
Description: bacterial SSU rRNA
Rfam family: Bacterial small subunit ribosomal RNA
Source: RNAcentral
CUCAGGACGAACGCUGGCGGCGUGCUUAACACAUGCAAGUCGAGCGGUAAGGCUCCUUCGGGAGUACACGAGCGGCGAACGGGUGAGUAACACGUGAGCAAUCUGCCCUUCACUCUGGGAUAAGCCUGGGAAACUGGGUCUAAUACCGGAUAUGACUUCGGGAUGCAUGUUCUGGAGUGGAAAGUUCUGGCGGUGAAGGAUGAGCUCGCGGCCUAUCAGCUUGUUGGUGGGGUAAUGGCCUACCAAGGCGACGACGGGUAGCCGGCCUGAGAGGGUGACCGGCCACACUGGGACUGAGACACGGCCCAGACUCCUACGGGAGGCAGCAGUGGGGAAUAUUGGACAAUGGGCGAAAGCCUGAUCCAGCAACGCCGCGUGAGGGAUGACGGCCUUCGGGUUGUAAACCUCUUUCAGCAGGGACGAAGCGCAAGUGACGGUACCUGCAGAAGAAGCACCGGCCAACUACGUGCCAGCAGCCGCGGUAAUACGUAGGGUGCGAGCGUUGUCCGGAAUUAUUGGGCGUAAAGGGCUCGUAGGCGGUUUGUCGCGUCGGGAGUGAAAACUCAGGGCUCAACCCUGUUCGUGCUUCCGAUACGGGCAAACUAGAGGUAGGCAGGGGAGAACGGAAUUCCUGGUGUAGCGGUGGAAUGCGCAGAUAUCAGGAGGAACACCGGUGGCGAAGGCGGUUCUCUGGGCCUAUUCUGACGCUGAGGAGCGAAAGCAUGGGGAGCGAACAGGAUUAGAUACCCUGGUAGUCCAUGCCGUAAACGUUGGGCGCUAGGUGUGGGGCUCGUUCCACGAGUUCCGUGCCGCAGCUAACGCAUUAAG